This 31-nucleotide non-coding RNA is filed under the name Mus musculus (house mouse). The record is from RNAcentral. Lineage: Eukaryota; Metazoa; Chordata; Mammalia; Rodentia; Muridae.
UUAGAUGACCUCUCAGAUGGUAUGACAAUAU